AGCAGCCGCGGUAAUUCCAGCUCCAAUAGCGUAUAUUAAAGUUGUUGCAGUUAAAAAGCUCGUAGUUGAAUUUCGGGGUUAGUAGGUUGGUCAUGCCUCUGGUAUGUACUGGUCUCACUGAUUCCUCCUUCCUGAUGAGCCGUAAUGCCAUUAAUUCGGUGUUGCGGGGAAUUUGGACUGUUACUUUGAAAAAAUUAGAGUGUUUAAAGCAAGCUAACGCUUGAAUACAUUAGCAUGGAAUAAUGAAAUAGGACGUUUGAUUCUAUUUUGUUGGUUUCUAGGAUCGACGUAAUGAUUAAUAGGGAUAGUUGGGGGCAUUAGUAUUCAAUUGUCAGAGGUGAAAUUCUUGGAUUUAUUGAAGACUAACUACUGCGAAAGCAUUUGCCAAGGAUGUUUUCAUUAAUCAAGAACGAAAGUUAGGGGAUCGAAGACGAUCAGAUACCGUCGUAGUCUUAACCAUAAACUAUGCCGACUAGGGAUCGGAUGAUGUUAAUUUUUAAUGACUCAUUCGGCGCCUUAA
Molecule: ribosomal RNA, 520 nt
Filed under: uncultured Glomus
Lineage: Eukaryota; Fungi; Glomeromycota; Glomeromycetes; Glomerales; Glomeraceae
Description: SSU rRNA
Rfam family: Eukaryotic small subunit ribosomal RNA
Source: RNAcentral